GACGAACGCUGGCGGCGUGCUUAACACAUGCAAGUCGAGCGAUGAAGCACCUUCGGGUGUGAAUUAGCGGCGAACGGGUGAGGAACACGUGAAGAAUCUGCCUUCAACACUGGGAUAACUCCGGGAAACCGGGGCUAAUACCGGAUAUGAAACCUGCGGGCAUCCGCGGGUUUGGAAAGUUUUUCGGUUGAAGAUGAUCUCGCGGCCUAUCAGCUUGUUGGUGAGGUAAUGGCUCACCAAGGCGACGACGGGUAGCCGGCCUGAGAGGGCGACCGGCCACACUGGGACUGAGACACGGCCCAGACUCCUACGGGAGGCAGCAGUGGGGAAUAUUGGGCAAUGGAGGAAACUCUGACCCAGCGACGCCGCGUGCGGGAUGAA
Molecule: ribosomal RNA, 381 nt
Filed under: uncultured bacterium
Lineage: Bacteria
Description: bacterial SSU rRNA
Rfam family: Bacterial small subunit ribosomal RNA
Source: RNAcentral